This 2159-nucleotide long non-coding RNA is filed under the name Homo sapiens (human). RNAcentral describes it as "cervical cancer-associated transcript 37 (CRAT37)". Lineage: Eukaryota; Metazoa; Chordata; Mammalia; Primates; Hominidae. The record is from RNAcentral.
GUUGGAGAUGGGGCCUGGUGGGAGGUGAUCGGAUCAGGGGGGUGGAUUUCUCACAGAUGCUUUAGGACCAUCCUCUUGGUGCUGUUCUCAUGAUAGUUCAGUGAAUUCUCACUCGAUCUGGUCGUUUGAAAGUGUGUGGCAUCUCCCCCCUCGCUCUCUCUCUUGCUCCUGCUCCAGCCAUGUGACCUGCGUGCUCCCUGCCUUCACCUGCCGCCAUGAUUGGAAGCUUUCUGAGGCCGCCUUAGAAGCCAAGUAGAUGCCAACAUCAAGCCUCUAAUACAGCCUGCAGAACCGCUUGCCCUCUCUCACCUGCUGCCAUGUAAGAUGUGCCUGCUUCACCUUCCGCCAUGAUUGUCAGUUUCCUGAGGCCUCCCCAGCCAUGUGGAACUCUCUGUCUUUUCCAGAAUAUCAUAUAAAUGGAAUCACACGAUAGGCAGCCUUUUGAGUCUGGCUUCUUUGACUGAACAGAAUGCAUUCAAGGAUGUGAGAAGAAGAAAGGAGGGGGGAGAGGAGGAGAAAAGGACGUGCAUCAUCUGAAAAUGAAGGGUGUUCUUUAAAGCAGCAAAGUUAGCUCAACAAAACUUAUUGUGCUUUAUCAUGGGGAACUGACAUAGCAGAAAGUGGAACCAACGGUAAGGGGGGACUACUGUAACUAUGGAGGAAUAAGGACAAGAAUUACAGCAGACGUCUCAACAGAAACCAUGCAAGCCAGAGACAACGGAGUGAGAUUUUUAAAGUGUUGAAAGAAAAAAACUGUCAAAACAGAUUUCUACAUCCAGGAGAAAUAUCUUUCAAAUGUGAAAAACAAAUAAAUACUUUUGUGUACCAACAUAAACUGAGGAAGUUCAGUAAUAUUUCCUACUUUACUGGAAAUAUUAAAGGUAGUUCUUCAAACAAAGAAUUUGUUUGGAACUUAGAUCUGCAUACAGGACAUAAAUGAAGGGAAAUAUGCUUUAUCAUAUUUCUCGCUGUAAAAUAUACUUUAUCAUAUUUUCUUGCUAUAACAAGUAACUUGACUGUUUAAAGUAAUAAUAACCAUAUAUUAUAUGGUUAUGGUGUAUGUAAGAGUAAGAUGAGUUACAAUGAUAGUGCAAAAGAUGAGAAGAAAGAAUUGGGAAACACUGUUGUAAGAUCUUACAUUACAUGUGUGGCAACACUGUUAUUUGAAGGUGGACUUAGAUUAUUUAAAAUUGUAUAUUAUAAAACCUAGGGCAAUCACUACAAGUGUUAACAACACAAAAUGUGUAAAAAUCAAUUGACUAUAUUUAUGUAGGUCUAGUUCGGGGCUUUCUCUUCUAUUUCAUUGAUCUAUGUGUCUAUCCUUUUGCUACUGUCUUUAUUACUAUAUCUUUAUAAUAAUCCCAGCACUUUGGGAGACCAAGGUGGGCAGAUCAUGAGGUCAAGAGAUCGAGACCAUCCUGGCCAACAUGGUGAAACCCCAUCCCUACUAAAAAUACAAAAAUUAGCUGGGCAUGGUGGCACAUGCCUGUAGUCCCAGCUAUUCAGGAGGCUGAGGCAGGAGAAUUGCUUGAACCCAGGAGGUGGAGGUUGCAGUGAGCCAAGAUCACACCACUGCUCUCCAGCCUGGCAAUAGAGUGAGACUUUGUCUCAAAAAAAUAAAAAUAAAAAUAAAAAAUAAAAAAUAAAAAAAUUUUAAAUAAAAGGCUUGAAAUUGGGUAGUGUAAAUCCUUCCAUUUUUUAAAUCUCUUUCAGAAUCAUUUUGCUAUUCUAGCAUGUUUUGCUUUUUAGAAUCAGUUUGUUGAUAUCUACCCAAUGCUUGCUGGAAUUUUGGUUAGGAUUGUACUGGGGAGAAUUGGUAAAUUUGCCACAUUGAACCUUUCAAUCCGAGAAUAUGUUAUAUCUCUAUACUUAAUUAGAUCUUCCAUGAUUUAUUUGAGCAGUGUUUUGCAGUUUAUAGUAUAUAAUUCCUGAGCACGUUUUGUUAGAAUUUAAGUAUUUCAAUGGGGCAGGAGAUGCUAUUAUAAAUGAUACUGUCUUUAAAUUUUGAAAUCCAAUUGUUGAUUGCCACUAUCUAGAAAAAUGGUUGACUUUUGUAAUUCUGCAACCUCAGUAAUUUAUUAAUUCUAGGAGCAUUUUGGUGGGUUUCUUUGGGAAGAUAAAUAUGUCUUUUUGGAUAAAAAAAAAAAAAAAAAAAAAAA